CGUCCCGCCGGCGACCGGCGCACGGGUGAGUAACACGUAUGCAACCUGGCCGCCACAGGGGGAUAACCCGCGGAAACGCGGCCUAAUACCCCGUGACGCCACCGGAGGGUAUCCUCCGGUGGCCAAAGGAGCGAUCCGGUGGCGGAUGGGCAUGCGGCGCAUUAGCUAGACGGCGGGGUGACGGCCCACCGUGGCGACGAUGCGUAGGGGUUCUGAGAGGAAGGCCCCCCACACUGGGACUGAGACACGGCCCAGACUCCUACGGGAGGCAGCAG
Molecule: ribosomal RNA, 275 nt
Filed under: uncultured bacterium
Lineage: Bacteria
Description: partial 16S ribosomal RNA
Rfam family: Bacterial small subunit ribosomal RNA
Source: RNAcentral